AGAGUUUGAUCAUGGCUCAGAACGAACGCUGGCGGCGCGUCUUAAGCAUGCAAGUCGAACGGCAAGGAAGUGCUUGCACUUCCCUAGAGUGGCGGACUGGUGAGUAACACGUGGGUGACAUACCUUUUAGUUGGGGAUAGCUAUUAGAAAUAGUAGAUAAUACCGAAUGUGACCAUUACAGUUAGAGUGUAAUGAGGAAAGGAGCUAAGGCUCCGCUAGAAGAUUGGCCCGCGGCCCAUUAGCUAGUUGGUGAGGUAACGGCCCACCAAGGCAAUGAUGGGUAUCCGGCCUGAGAGGGUGAUCGGACACAUUGGGACUGAGAUACGGCCCAGACUCCUACGGGAGGCAGCAGCUAAGAAUAUUCCACAAUGGACGAAAGUCUGAUGGAGCGACGCCGCGUGGAUGAUGAAGGCCGAAAGGUUGUAAAAUCCUUUUAAACUGGAAGAAUAAUCAUGGUAGGGAAUGAUCGUGAGGUGACCGUACAGUUUGAAUAAGCAACGGCUAAUUACGUGCCAGCAGCCGCGGUAACACGUAAGUUGCGAGCGUUGUUCGGAAUUAUUGGGCGUAAAGGGCAUGUAGGCGGUUUUGAAAGCUUGAUGUGAAAUCCCACAGCUUAACUGUGGAACUGCAUUGAGAACUACAAGACUAGAGUUACUGAAGGGAAACUAGAAUUCCAAGUGUAGGGGUGAAAUCUGUAGAUAUUUGGAAGAAUACCAAUGGCGAAGGCAAGUUUCUGGCAGAUAACUGACGCUGAGGUGCGAAGGUGCGGGGAGCAAACAGGAUUAGAUACCCUGGUAGUCCGCACAGUAAACGAUGUACACUAGGUGUUUGACCAUGAGGUUGGGUGCCAAAGCUAACGUGAUAAGUGUACCGCCUGGGAAGUAUGCCCGCAAGGGUGAAACUCAAAUGAAUUGACGG
Molecule: ribosomal RNA, 918 nt
Filed under: uncultured bacterium
Lineage: Bacteria
Description: bacterial SSU rRNA
Rfam family: Bacterial small subunit ribosomal RNA
Source: RNAcentral